AGCUCUCAAAACUGUCACCACCAACGGGUGCGGAGAAAAUCUGAGAGUUCAGUUCAUAAAUAGUCUCUACAGAGGGAACGUUACUCUUGGUUCCCUCCUCCUCGUUUUCUUUGUCAAUAUCUCAUAAUAAAAGGACGAAACCCCUAUUCUCCUCCUCCAUCAUCAAUUAUCUCUUUCAUUCUUCUCUCUCGUUUGACGCUCGACAGUGACGUCGCCGUGAAGAAGCGGAGCAGACUAGGUUCAGGUGAGUUGUGAACCCAGACUUGAACUAUCGGUAUCAUUUUCGAUUGGCGCUACUCUCCUAUUUCGUUCUUUACGGGAAGUUGAUCUUUUUAUGGAGAGUUCUGAUGAUGAGAGAGAUGGAGCUUAUGGAAGCUAUAUACCAAAGGAACUGGCUCAUAAUGUAGCAUCUAAUGGUACAAAAUUCGUAGAUGAAGUGCUUAAUGGUCAAAAUGAACGUUGUUUUGAAAAUUUUCGCAUGGACAAGCCAGUAUUUUACAAGUUGUGUGAUCUUCUACAAGGCAAAGGCUUGCUACGUCAUACAAAUCGAAUCAAAA
Carica papaya (papaya) is the source of this 557-nucleotide non-coding RNA. The record is from RefSeq and is a predicted model, not a curated record. NCBI's taxonomy places the organism in Eukaryota, Viridiplantae, Streptophyta, Magnoliopsida, Brassicales, Caricaceae.